Molecule: long non-coding RNA, 1342 nt
Filed under: Homo sapiens (human)
Lineage: Eukaryota; Metazoa; Chordata; Mammalia; Primates; Hominidae
Description: disrupted in renal carcinoma 3
Source: RNAcentral
ACACGCAUAUGUGUCCAGGUGCCUACGCAGGUGCCUGACCCUGGGCAAGUCGCUCCGUCAUGCGGACCUCAGUUUUCUCAUCUGUCCGACGAAGGAGAGAAACUGAGUCCGAGGGAUGUCAACAUGCCAAGUCCAUGGAAAUAUCAGUGGGCUGGAAUUCUAGCUGCCUGAAAGAAGACAUUCCUCACACAAGACCUCACAAUCAUAUCCAUGGAAUUAUAGCACUGGGCUCUCCAGAUGGUGCUACAGGAAGACCUCCAGAAAUUUGACAAUCCUCUAUUCAAGGCCCUACCACAGAGACACACAGGAACGGAACUCAGAAUCACAAACAAAGAAACUUUGAUCCAAGAAAGAAAAUGAUCUUUAAAAAGACCCUCGUUUCAUGCUGGCCGAUGCUGAGAAAAUCUGCUCUGAAGGAUAUUUGGAGACACUGAUUAAAAGAUGGUUGUCCCAGUGGAGGGGGAUUCUUCGUGUUACGUAGAUAGGAAGCACGAUGCAAAAGUGUUGAAGCAGGAGUGUAAAGAAUAAUUAAAACACCUGCCCAAGACCCAAGCAAGGAUAGGAUUUCCCAGACAUUCGUGAGGGAGAAAAUGCCAUGUCCUUUCCUUCUGGUGUCACAUCAGAAUCUGAAGGCUGCUAGAGAAGGGAGAGAAACAUGAAAGUGAGUCCCAUGCUGAUUGUUGUUGAAAUACCUGGAAAGAAACUGGCAAAGACUAUCCAAGGGAUGCUAAGACAUGUCCGAACUUACAAAACAGUAGAACCUGAAUAGGAAUUUGAAGUUGUCUAUACUCUCCUCAGCCACACCCUGCCAUUUUACAGAUUGUCUUCUCUGGGGAAGUUAGCUGUCAUGUUGUGAGGAUACUCAAGCAGUUUAUAAAGAGGUUCAUGUCGCAAGGAAUGGAGGCCUCCUGCCAACAGCCAUGUAAAGGAGCCAUCUAGGAAAUAGAUUCUCCAGCCCCAGUCAGACCUUCAGAUGAUUACAGCCCCUACCAACCUUCUGACUGCGGUGGAAGGAAGGUUCCGGAACCAGAACCACCCAGGUUAAUGUGGGUAAGUCUCAUCCAAUCCUUUGAAGGCCUGAAGAACAAAGAGUGAGGUUUCUGGAAGAAGAAAAUUUUACCUCAAGCCUGCAAUGUAGAAAUUCUGCUUGAGUUUCCCGCCUGCUGGCCUGCCCUGUGGAAUUCGGAGUCAAGAAGGAGUCUUGUAAGCAUUAACUGAGAUAGUAUAUGAAGAGUGCUUUUGCACCGAGUGAACCUUCAAUCAACUGUACUAGUUUGUAUGCCUGGAAGAGCUGCUAUAUGGGAUCAGAAAGAAAAAUAAGGUGCAUACGCCAGAAAAAAAA